This 1933-nucleotide ribosomal RNA is filed under the name Rhodotorula toruloides. Its description in RNAcentral is "small subunit ribosomal RNA". It matches the Rfam family "Bacterial small subunit ribosomal RNA". The record is from RNAcentral. Lineage: Eukaryota; Fungi; Basidiomycota; Microbotryomycetes; Sporidiobolales; Sporidiobolaceae.
AAAAAUGCGAGUUUAGUUAUGACUCAUAGCGAACGCUAUCUAGCAGUUUGACACAUGCAAGUUCAUCGUCUGUUCUGCAAGUUUGCAAUAGGGGGACCUUAGCAAAUUGCUAACAUAAGACGGUAGCGUACAGGCGAGUAUACGUUAGCUGCUAAGCUUAAGUGUCCUCUAAGGAUACGGUGCAUUGCGAACGCAAUGUCGCUAAAAAACACAAUUGUUUGCUUAAGCAUGCGCUAACAUCACAGCAGCUAGUUGCCUAGGUAAAAGCUAAGCAAGGCUAUGACGUGUAGACGUUAGUGAAAGCUACGACGUCCGCAAUGACUACGAACGAAGUCAUACUACACUAGUAGGCAGCAGUGCAGAAUAUUUGUCAAUGGUCGCAAGACUGAACAAGCUAGCUAGAUCGUGCAUAGGCUUAAGCUUAGCACGUAACGUAACGUCAUAUAAUGACGGCCGUUAUAACAAGUUGCAACCCAUUUCAGUGCCAGCAGUUGCGGUUAGACUGAUGCAGCAAGCGUUGCUAGUAAUAAAUAGGCGUAAAAAAUGCGUAGGUGGGAGUUGGGUACCCGGUAUGUACUACCUGGUAUUCCCCAUAUGGAUUCUAGUUGGGUAGUGGGUAUGUUCAGCGUAGCAAUGAAAUGCAUUGAUGCUGAAAGGACCACCCUAUUACUGCUACUAGCUAGCAAUUGACACUAAGGCAUGAACGCAUAGGCAUAAAAGAGGAUUAGAUACCCUCGUAUUCUAUGCUGUUAACGAUGAAGGCUGCUAAUUUAGCUUAGCUUUACUAGCAUGCAAACGCUUAAGCCUUCUGCCUGGGUAGUACAGUCACACGGCUGAACACCAAAUAACUAGACGGUUUUGAAGACCUGCAGUGAAGCAUGAACCUUAAUUCGACAAUCCGCGCACAACCUUACCAUCGCUUGCAUGGGGAAUUUGAGGUAGUAUUACACACGAUUUGCAUAUGACUUCCCCCACCGGUAUGCUUAUGGGGAAUACGGUGUACUAUACAACAUAGCUUUGUGUUAUAGCUUAAGCUAUAGCAUGGGGGAUAUGAGGUAGUAUGUACCGGGUACCCUAUUGUGUGCAUCUGUCAAUUAGCAUGGGGAUUUCGGUGUAUAACACAGCAAGUUUGCUGCCCUACCCAUGUAGCUGUUAAUAGCAGUUACAUGGCGCUAUGAUGAUAGUAUAGUAUCGGCUGUCCAUAGGUGCUAGUCGACAUAUGCAUGGGGAAUACGAUGCAUUAUACGUCAUAUGUCUUAUGUUGCAGCUAAUAGCAACAACAUGGGGAAUAUGAGGUAAUGUAUACCUGGUACCCUAUUGCAUACUGUAAGUGAGGUCAUAGGGGAAUACGGUGUAAUAUACGUCAUAGCCUACACAGGUGCUACAUGUCCUUCUUCAGCAUGUGUUGCUAAAUGCGUGGUUCAAUCCGCUAACAUGCGCAAGCCUAGCAGCCAACAGAAUACGGUUGUUUGCGGUCCAUAUGACUGCAGAUAGGGGUUAAGAAAGGACACCAUGACCCCCAUGCGAUGGGCUGUCUUUGUGCUGCUAAAGCUAGUACAACGCAACGCUAUUGUCUAAUGACAGCAGCUAUUUGUAAACGCUAGCUUGAUGAAUUGACAGCUGCAAAGGCUGUCAUGAAUAAGGAAUUGCAAGUAAUCGUAGUGUAGUGCGCUACGGUGAACACCCCAUUCAAAAUGUACUAAUCACCCGUCACGUCGGGAGAGGCUUUCUAGCUGUAAAAUAGGGCCUGCAUGCGUGUACUGCAGUGUUAGCUUAUAACGUCACACGGCGUAUAAAACAGCGUCUGCUAGCAAAUUUGCAAAUUUGAUGCCUUGCUGCAGCGCCAUGUAGGCUUUGCUAACAGCUAGCGCUAAUCUGGACGAAGUCGUAAUAUAGGAGCGGUACGGGAACGUGCUGCUGAAUAAUGACUUUA